GCAGAAGGAUCAUUAGUGAAGAUUUGGGCAGGCCAUACGGACGCCAAAAAGUGUCCCUGGCCGCCUACACCCACUAUACAUCCACAAACCCGUGUGCACUGCCUUGGAGAAAGGCUUCAGAGAAGUUUUUUGUGGCCUCUCUUGGGGUCUUUCUUCGCUACAAACUCGAAUGGUUAGUAUGAACGUGGAACUUGGUUGGACCGUCACUGGCCAACAAACUAUACACAACUUUCGACAACGGAUCUCUUGGUUCUCCCA
Molecule: unclassified non-coding RNA, 258 nt
Filed under: uncultured fungus
Lineage: Eukaryota; Fungi
Description: partial contains 18S rRNA, ITS1, 5.8S rRNA
Source: RNAcentral